CGGGACGUAGCGCAGUCUGGGAGCGCACCUGAAUGGGGUUCAGGGGGUCCGGGGUUCAAAUCCCCGCGUCCCGACCA
RNAcentral lists this transfer RNA (77 nucleotides) under Deltaproteobacteria bacterium. RNAcentral describes it as "tRNA-Pro". It matches the Rfam family "tRNA". From Rfam's summary of the family: Transfer RNA (tRNA) molecules are approximately 80 nucleotides in length. The record is from RNAcentral. Lineage: Bacteria; Pseudomonadati; Myxococcota; Myxococcia.